GAGUUUGAUCCUGGCCAGGACGAACCCUGGCGGCGUGCUUCAUACAUGCAAGUCGAACGGGGUCCCCUCAGUGGCAACACUGAGGACGACCUAGUGGCGAACGGGUGAGUAACACGUGAGGAACCUAUCCCGGUCUCUGGAAUAACAAGUGGAAACACUUGCUAAUACCGGAUGCCGUCAUCACCUCUCCUGGGGAGAUGACGAAAGAUUUAUCGGAUCGGGCGGGCCUCGCGGCCUAUCAGCUAGUUGGUGGGGUAACGGCCUACCAAGGCAUCGACGGGUAGCUGGUCUGAGAGGAUGAUCAGCCACACUGGGACUGAGACACGGCCCAGACUCCUACGGGAGGCAGCAGUAGGGAAUCUUGCGCAAUGGGCGAAAGCCCGACGCAGCAACGCCGCGUGCGGGAAGAAGGCUCUCGGGUUGUAAACCGCUUUCAGUAGGAACGAAUUUGACGGUACCUGCAGAAGAAGGUGCGGCCAACUACGUGCCAGCAGCGCGGUAA
RNAcentral lists this ribosomal RNA (502 nucleotides) under uncultured Actinomycetes bacterium. RNAcentral's name for it is "bacterial SSU rRNA". It matches the Rfam family "Bacterial small subunit ribosomal RNA", at positions 9 to 523 of the family's 1533-position model. Lineage: Bacteria; Bacillati; Actinomycetota; Actinomycetes. The record is from RNAcentral.